This is a non-coding RNA of Pelobates cultripes (western spadefoot toad), 492 nucleotides long. NCBI's taxonomy places the organism in Eukaryota, Metazoa, Chordata, Amphibia, Anura, Pelobatidae. The record is from the annotation of a GenBank genome assembly.
AACGCCGGCUCAUGUUGUGCAUUCAAAACAGCACUUUUUAGCCAAGAGAAAUAGAGAAAGAACAGAGGGGAAGCCCCUAGUGUAAUCCUGGCAUGUCUGUGCGGACACAGAGCCUGAAUAUUUCUCUCUCUGCGGCAGGAAAGGAACAAACCAGAUUACGAUACAGAACUGCUGCCCCGUGCUCUGUGCUUUCAUUACAAAUAGUAACGAAGUGAUCAGGGCUGGAUUGACUGUCCUUGCUGCCCCAAGGCAGGUAUUCUCAAUAUACCCCAAUGUGUGUGUGAGUGUGUGUGUAUAUGCAUGCGUGGAUGGUUGGAUUGAGGCUGAGUUUUUGUGGGAAUGCGGCUCGUUGGUGUGGUGUUGCAUGUUCAUGGGUGGCUGCUUGUUGUGUUGCAUUCUGGACUGUAGUGGCGGAAUUGGAGAUUUAGUGGGUGGGGGUAGUGGCUAUAAUGGGGUGACACUGGCUGUGGUGGGGUGACCGGGAUUGUGUUG